This 212-nucleotide unclassified non-coding RNA is filed under the name Hevea brasiliensis (rubber tree). Lineage: Eukaryota; Viridiplantae; Streptophyta; Magnoliopsida; Malpighiales; Euphorbiaceae. The record is from RNAcentral.
GAGAACUCCAACAAGCCGAACCAGAAGUAUAUUCAGAUAGUCACCGUGGAUGACUUCGAGUUCUGGUUCAUGGGGUUCGUUAGUUAUCCGAGAUCUUUGAAGUGGAUACAUCAAGCAACCUCCGAAACCCAUGUGAGAGUUUCCAAGUGACGGAAUGACUCAUCGAUAAAACUGGCUGGCCAUAUUUGCAAAUAUGGGGAAAAUUGGCCGAU